AGGUCACCACGGAGGCUUUGGCGGUGGCUUCGGUGGAGGGUUCGGACACGGGGGCUUUGGAGGCGGCUUCGGCGGGGGAUACGGACGAUGAUCCGGCAAUUCCGUUUCCGAAAGCGUUGUCGCGGAUAAGAAAAUCCAUCGAAGUCGAAGGCGCUCAUUCGUACAAGGCUCCGUGAGAGACCGGGAGAAGCGGUCCGUUUCGUCUGGAGUCCGACUUCUCUAGGGAUCAUUCGGAUAAAAAUGAAAUACGAGGCUAGUUUUAUCUGUGGUUAUGUUUCAUGUUUUAUGUUACCCUCCUUUCUCAUUGAUUUUAUUUUUCCUUUUUUUUUUUAUUGCCUCCUUGUAUUUCUAUUAUUUUCAUCUGUGGUUAUGUUUCGUGUUUUAUGUUACCCUCCCUUCUCAU
Penaeus vannamei (Pacific white shrimp) is the source of this 403-nucleotide non-coding RNA. The record is from RefSeq and is a predicted model, not a curated record. NCBI's taxonomy places the organism in Eukaryota, Metazoa, Arthropoda, Malacostraca, Decapoda, Penaeidae.